Molecule: ribosomal RNA, 246 nt
Filed under: uncultured bacterium
Lineage: Bacteria
Description: partial 16S ribosomal RNA
Rfam family: Bacterial small subunit ribosomal RNA
Source: RNAcentral
AACGUGGGUAACCUGCCCUAAAGUCUGGGAUACCGCUUGGAAACAGGUGCUAAUACCGGAUAACAACAAUAGCUGCAUGGCUAUUGCUUAAAGGCGGCGAAAGCUGUCGCUAAAGGAUGGACCCGCGGUGCAUUAGCUAGUUGGUAAGGUAAUGGCUUACCAAGGCGACGAUGCAUAGCCGAGUUGAGAGACUGAUCGGCCACAUUGGGACUGAGACACAGCCCAAACUCCUACGGGAGGCAGCAG